RNAcentral lists this unclassified non-coding RNA (301 nucleotides) under uncultured fungus. Its description in RNAcentral is "partial contains 5.8S ribosomal RNA, internal transcribed spacer 2, and large subunit ribosomal RNA". Lineage: Eukaryota; Fungi. The record is from RNAcentral.
ACGCACCUUGCGCUCGUUGGUAUUCGACGAGCAUGCCUGUUUGAGUGUCAUUAAAUUCUCAACCUCACCACUUUUGUAAUGAGAGUGUGUGUUGGCUUGGAUGUGGGGGUUUGCAGGUCCACUCUUUUGUGGUCUGCUCCUCUGAAAUGUAUUAGUGGGUUUGGUCCCCUAAUCUAUUGGUGUGAUAAUUAUCUACGCCGUGGAUUGGAAGACUAUUAUGAACCUGCUUCUAACCGUCCCUUACACGGACAAUACUUGACAUUUUUGACCUCAAAUCAGGUAAGACUACCGCUGAACUUAA